GAAUUAUGUUGGUUUGCUAGGGAGGACAUUAUAAGCAUAGUUAAUAGGGUUUGGAGUACUAAUUUGUGUGGUAAGGAUAAUCUGGCUGUCUGGCAGCAGAAGAUGAGGCUUUUGAGAAGGUGCCUAAAGGGCUGUAAUCUCAAUGUUGAAGGGAUGUAUAAGAAAAGUAGAAAUAGCUUAAUUACUCAGCUAGAUGAUAUUGAUAAAAGAUGUGAGAAAACUGGGUUCUCGGUUGCUGACUAUGAGUUAAGAAAUGUUUUACAGUAUAACUUGAAUAAAUUGCUUCGAGAGGAAGAGAUUAAGUGGUACCAACACUUGAAAGAGAGGGAUAUUAGAGAAGGCGAUAAUAUCACUAGGUAUCUUAUGAUCAAAGCUAGCGGUAGGAAGCGUAAGAGCAAAAUUUUCAGAUUUGUUCAGGAGGAAGGGAUUAUUCAAGGAGAUGAUAAGCUGCUUGAUUAUGCCACU
RNAcentral lists this ribosomal RNA (465 nucleotides) under Triticum aestivum (bread wheat). RNAcentral's name for it is "partial small subunit ribosomal RNA". The record is from RNAcentral. Lineage: Eukaryota; Viridiplantae; Streptophyta; Magnoliopsida; Poales; Poaceae.